UUCGAUUCCGUAAGUAGCGGCGAGCGAACGCGGAACAGGCCAAACCAAUGAAGUUUACUUCGUUGGGGUUGCGGACAUACAACAUGGAUGCAAUAUCGUAAAUGAAGAGAGUUGGAAAGCUCCGCCAUAGAAGGUAAUAGCCCUGUAGUUGAAACGAGAAAGCUACUAGUAUGAUCCAGAGUACCACGGGACACGUGAAACCCUGUGGGAAGCAGGAGGGACCAUCCUCCAAGCCUAAAUACUACCUAGUGACCGAUAGCGCAUAGUACCGUGAGGGAAAGGUGAAAAGAACCCCGGGAGGGGAGUGAAAUAGAACCUGAAACCCUGCACUUACAAGCUGUGGGAGCACAUUACUUGUGUGACCGCGUACUUUUUGUAGAACGGGCCAACGAGUUACGUUAAGUAGCAAGGUUAAGCACUUAAGGUGUGGAGCCGUAGCGAAAGCGAGUCUUAAAUGGGCGAUUAAGUUACUUGGCGUAGACCCGAAACCGGGCGACCUAUCCAUGAGCAGGUUGAAGCGAAAGUAAAAUUUCGUGGAGGACCGAACCCACGAGCGUUGAAAAGCUCGGGGAUGACUUGUGGAUAGCGGUGAAAUUCCAAUCGAGCCCGGAGAUAGCUGGUUCUCCCCGAAAUAGCUUUAGGGCUAGCCUCAAGCGUAGAGAAACGGAGGUAGAGCACUGAAUGUCCUAGGGGGUAUUGCACUUACCGAAGACUAUCAAACUCCGAAUGCCGUUUUCUUUUACUUGGGAGUCAGACUGUGGGUGAUAAGAUUCAUAGUCAAAAGGGCAACAGCCCAGAUCGUCAGCUAAGGUCCCUAAAUGUACGUUAAGUGGUAAAGGAUGUGGGAUUGCACAGACAACCAGGAUGUUGGCUUAGAAGCAGCCACACAUUCAAAGAGUGCGUAAUAGCUCACUGGUCGAGUGAUCCUGCGCCGAAAAUUUCCGGGGCUAAAACGUACUACCGAAGCUACGGCAUCAUUUAUGAUGGGUAGGGGAGCUUCGUAUGCAGGCUGAAGCAUGACCGUAAGGACAUGUGGACAGUAUACGAGUGAGAAUGUUGGCAUGAGUAGCGAGACGUGGGUGAGAAUCCCACGGGCCGUAAACCCAAGGUUUCCAGGGGAAGGUUCGUCCGCCCUGGGUUAGUCGGGACCUAAGCCGAGGCCGAAAGGCGUAGGUGAUGGACAACAGGUUGAUAUUCCUGUACCGCCAAUAAGCGUUUGAGAGAUGGAGUGACACAGUAGGAUAAGCUAACCGUACUGUUGGUUAUGUACGGCUAAGCAUUGAGGCAGUCUAAAUAGGCAAAUCCGUUUAGACAAUGCUAGGAUGUGAUGGGGAAGCCCUUCGGGGCGAAGUAGCUGAUUUCACACUGUCAAGAAAAGCUUCUAUCGAGUUUAAAGGCGCCCGUACCGUAAACCGACACAGGUGGGUGAGGAGAGUAUCCUAAGGCCAGCGAGAGAACUAUUGUUAAGGAACUCGGCAAAAUGACCCCGUAACUUAGGGAGAAGGGGUGCCUGUCUAUGACAGGCCGCAGAGAAUAGGCCCAAGCGACUGUUUACCAAAAACACAGGUUUCUGCUAAGUCGCAAGACGAUGUAUAGGAGCUGACGCCUGCCCGGUGCUGGAAGGUUAAGGGGAUCUGUUAGAGCAAUCGAAGCAGUGAACUUAAGCCCCAGUAAACGGCGGCCGUAACUAUAACGGUCCUAAGGUAGCGAAAUUCCUUGUCGGGUAAGUUCCGACCCGCACGAAAGGCGUAACGAUUUGGGCACUGUCUCAACAAUAGACUCGGUGAAAUUGUAAUCCCGGUGAAGAUGCCGGGUACCUGCGACAGGACGGAAAGACCCCAUGGAGCUUUACUGUAGCUUGACGUUGGGUCUUGGUACUACAUGUACAGGAUAGGUGGGAGACUAUGAAGCAUGGACGCCAGUCUGUGUGGAGUCAUCCUUGGGAUACCACCCUUGUAGUACUGGGAUCCUAACCAUAGGCCUUGAAUCAGGUCUUGGAACACCGUCAGGUGGGCAGUUUGACUGGGGCGGUCGCCUCCGAAAAAGUAACGGAGGCGCUCAAAGGUUUCCUCAGCACGGUCGGAAAUCGUGCGAAGAGUGUAAAGGCAAAAGGAAGCUUGAUUGCAAGACAUACAGGUCGAGCAAGGACGAAAGUCGGACUUAGUGAUCCGGUGGUACCGCAUGGAAGGGCCAUCGCUCAAC
This 2202-nucleotide ribosomal RNA is filed under the name human gut metagenome. Its description in RNAcentral is "bacterial LSU rRNA". It matches the Rfam family "Bacterial large subunit ribosomal RNA", at positions 230 to 2453 of the family's 2925-position model. The record is from RNAcentral.